Molecule: ribosomal RNA, 229 nt
Filed under: uncultured Lactobacillus sp.
Lineage: Bacteria; Bacillati; Bacillota; Bacilli; Lactobacillales; Lactobacillaceae
Description: partial 16S ribosomal RNA
Rfam family: Bacterial small subunit ribosomal RNA
Source: RNAcentral
UAGUCUGGGAUACCACUUGGAAACAGGUGCUAAUACCGGAUAAGAAAGCGGAUCGCAUGAUCAGCUUUUAAAAGGCGGCGUAAGCUGUCGCUAUGGGAUGGCCCCGCGGUGCAUUAGCUAGUUGGUAAGGUAAAGGCUUACCAAGGCGAUGAUGCAUAGCCGAGUUGAGAGACUGAUCGGCCACAUUGGGACUGAGACACGGCCCAAACUCCUACGGGAGGCAGCAGGA